RNAcentral lists this ribosomal RNA (432 nucleotides) under uncultured bacterium. Its description in RNAcentral is "partial 16S ribosomal RNA". It matches the Rfam family "Bacterial small subunit ribosomal RNA", at positions 29 to 507 of the family's 1533-position model. The record is from RNAcentral.
AACGAACGCUGGCGGCAUGCCUAACACAUGCAAGUCGAACGAGACCUUCGGGUCUAGUGGCGCACGGGUGCGUAACGCGUGGGAACCUGCCCUUAGGUUCGGAAUAACUCCCCGAAAGGGUGCUAAUACCGGAUAAUGUCUUCGGACCAAAGAUUUAUCGCCUUUGGAUGGGCCCGCGUUGGAUUAGCUUGUUGGUAGGGUAAAAGCCUACCAAGGCGACGAUCCAUAGCUGGUCUGAGAGGAUGAUCAGCCACACUGGGACUGAGACACGGCCCAGACUCCUACGCGAGGCAGCAGUGGGGAAUAUUGGAAAAUGGGCGAAAGCAUGAUGCAGCAAUGCCGCGUGAGUGAUGAAGGUCUUAGGGUUGUAAAGCUCUUUUACCCGGGAUGAUAAUGACAGUACCGGGAGAAUAAGCUCCGGCUAACUACGUG